This 2901-nucleotide ribosomal RNA is filed under the name Escherichia coli. RNAcentral describes it as "23S ribosomal RNA". It matches the Rfam family "Bacterial large subunit ribosomal RNA". The record is from RNAcentral. Lineage: Bacteria; Pseudomonadati; Pseudomonadota; Gammaproteobacteria; Enterobacterales; Enterobacteriaceae.
GGUUAAGCGACUAAGCGUACACGGUGGAUGCCCCGGCAGUCAGAGGCGAUGAAGGACGUGCUAAUCUGCGAUAAGCGUCGGUAAGGUGAUAUGAACCGUUAUAACCGGCGAUUUCCGAAUGGGGAAACCCAGUGUGUUUCGACACACUAUCAUUAACUGAAUCCAUAGGUUAAUGAGGCGAACCGGGGAACUGAAACAUCUAAGUACCCCGAGGAAAAGAAAUCAACCGAGAUUCCCCCAGUAGCGGCGAGCGAACGGGGAGCAGCCCAGAGCCUGAAUCAGUGUGUGUGUUAGUGGAAGCGUCUGGAAAGGCGCGCGAUACAGGGUGACAGCCCCGUACACAAAAAUGCACAUGCUGUGAGCUCGAUGAGUAGGGCGGGACACGUGGUAUCCUGUCUGAAUAUGGGGGACCAUCCUCCAAGGCUAAAUACUCCUGACUGACCGAUAGUGAACCAGUACCGUGAGGGAAAGGCGAAAAGAACCCCGGCGAGGGGAGUGAAAAAGAACCUGAAACCGUGUACGUACAAGCAGUGGGAGCACAGAGCAAUCUGUGUGACUGCGUACCUUUUGUAUAAUGGGUCAGCGACUUAUAUUCUGUAGCAAGGUUAACCGAAUAGGGGAGCCGAAGGGAAACCGAGUCUUAACUGGGCGUUAAGUUGCAGGGUAUAGACCCGAAACCUGGUGAUCUAGCCAUGGGCAGGUUGAAGGUUGGGUAACACUAACUGGAGGACCGAACCGACUAAUGUUGAAAAAUUAGCGGAUGACUUGUGGCUGGGGGUGAAAGGCCAAUCAAACCGGGAGAUAGCUGGUUCUCCCCGAAAGCUAUUUAGGUAGCGCCUCGUGAAUUCAUCUCCGGGGUAGAGCACUGUUUCGGCAAGGGGGUCAUCCCGACUUACCAACCCGAUGCAAACUGCGAAUACCGGAGAAUGUUAUCACGGGAGACACACGGCGGGUGCUAACGUCCGUCGUGAAGAGGGAAACAACCCAGACCGCCAGCUAAGGUCCCAAAGUCAUGGUUAAGUGGGAAACGAUGUGGGAAGGCCCAGACAGCCAGGAUGUUGGCUUAGAAGCAGCCAUCAUUUAAAGAAAGCGUAAUAGCUCACUGGUCGAGUCGGCCUGCGCGGAAGAUGUAACGGGGCUAAACCAUGCACCGAAGCUGCGGCAGCGACGCUGAUGCGUUGUUGGGUAGGGGAGCGUUCUGUAAGCCUGUGAAGGUGUGCUGUGAGGCAUGCUGGAGGUAUCAGAAGUGCGAAUGCUGACAUAAGUAACGAUAAAGCGGGUGAAAAGCCCGCUCGCCGGAAGACCAAGGGUUCCUGUCCAACGUUAAUCGGGGCAGGGUGAGUCGACCCCUAAGGCGAGGCCGAAAGGCGUAGUCGAUGGGAAACAGGUUAAUAUUCCUGUACUUGGUGUUACUGCGAAGGGGGACGGAGAAGGCUAUGUUGGCCGGGCGACGGUUGUCCCGGUUUAAGCGUGUAGGCUGGUUUUCCGGGCAAAUCCGGAAAAUCAAGGCUGAGGCGUGAUGACGAGGCACUACGGUGCUGAAGCAACAAAUGCCCUGCUUCCAGGGAAAGCCUCUAAGCAUCAGGUAACAUCAAAUCGUACCCCAAACCGACACAGGUGGUCAGGUAGAGAAUACCAAGGCGCUUGAGAGAACUCGGGUGAAGGAACUAGGCAAAAUGGUGCCGUAACUUCGGGAGAAGGCACGCUGAUAUGUAGGUGAGGUCCCUCGCGGAUGGAGCUGAAAUCAGUCGAAGAUACCAGCUGGCUGCAACUGUUUAUUAAAAACACAGCACUGUGCAAACACGAAAGUGGACGUAUACGGUGUGACGCCUGCCCGGUGCCGGAAGGUUAAUUGAUGGGGUCAGCGCAAGCGAAGCUCUUGAUCGAAGCCCCGUAAACGGCGGCCGUAACUAUAACGGUCCUAAGGUAGCGAAAUUCCUUGUCGGGUAAGUUCCGACCUGCACGAAUGGCGUAAUGAUGGCCGGGCUGUCUCCACCCGAGACUCAGUGAAAUUGAACUCGCUGUGAAGAUGCAGUGUACCCGCGGCAAGACGGAAAGACCCCGUGAACCUUUACUAUAGCUUGACACUGAACAUUGAGCCUUGAUGUGUAGGAUAGGUGGGAGGCUUUGAAGUGUGGACGCCAGUCUGCAUGGAGCCGGCCUUGAAAUACCACCCUUUAAUGUUUGAUGUUCUAACGUUGGCCCCUGAUCGGGGUUGCGGACAGUGUCUGGUGGGUAGUUUGACUGGGGCGGUCUCCUCCUAAAGAGUAACGGAGGAGCACGAAGGUUGGCUAAUCCUGGUCGGACAUCAGGAGGUUAGUGCAAUGGCAUAAGCCAGCUUGACUGCGAGCGUGACGGCGCGAGCAGGUGCGAAAGCAGGUCAUAGUGAUCCGGUGGUUCUGAAUGGAAGGGCCAUCGCUCAACGGAUAAAAGGUACUCCGGGGAUAACAGGCUGAUACCGCCCAAGAGUUCAUAUCGACGGCGGUGUUUGGCACCUCGAUGUCGGCUCAUCACAUCCUGGGGCUGAAGUAGGUCCCAAGGGUAUGGCUGUUCGCCAUUUAAAGUGGUACGCGAGCUGGGUUUAGAACGUCGUGAGACAGUUCGGUCCCUAUCUGCCGUGGGCGCUGGAGAACUGAGGGGGGCUGCUCCUAGUACGAGAGGACCGGAGUGGACGCAUCACUGGUGUUCGGGUUGUCAUGCCAAUGGCACUGCCCGGUAGCUAAAUGCGGAAGAGAUAAGUGCUGAAAGCAUCUAAGCACGAAACUUGCCCCGAGAUGAGUUCUCCCUGACUCCUUGAGAGUCCUGAAGGAACGUUGAAGACGACGACGUUGAUAGGCCGGGUGUGUAAGCGCAGCGAUGCGUUGAGCUAACCGGUACUAAUGAACCGUGAGGCUUAACCUU